Molecule: long non-coding RNA, 229 nt
Filed under: Homo sapiens (human)
Lineage: Eukaryota; Metazoa; Chordata; Mammalia; Primates; Hominidae
Description: lncAB289.1
Source: RNAcentral
CUUGAAGGCAGCAUGCUCGUUAAGAGUCAUCACCACUCCCUAAUCUCAAGUACCCAGGGACACAAACACUGCGGAAGGCCGCAGGGUCCUCUGCCUAGGAAAACCAGAGACCUUUGUUCACUUGUUUCUUUGUUCACUUGUUUAUCUGCUGACCUUCCCUCCACUAUUGUCCUAUGACCCUGCCAAAUCCCCCUCUGCGAGAAACACCCAAGAAUGAUCAAUAAAAAAA